UACGAAGGGGGCUAGCGUUGUUCGGAAUUACUGGGCGUAAAGAGCGUGUAGGCGGAGUAGUAAGUCAGGGGUGAAAGCCCGGAGCCUAACCCUAGAACUGCCUUUGAUACUGGUAGGCUCGAGAGUCGGAGGGGGAGGUGGAACUCCGAAUGUAGAGGUGAAAUCCGUAGAUAUUAGGAGGAACACCUGUGGCGAAGGCGGCUACCUGGACGAGUACUGACGCUGAGACGCGAAAGCGUGGGGAGCAAACAGG
Molecule: ribosomal RNA, 253 nt
Filed under: uncultured bacterium
Lineage: Bacteria
Description: partial 16S ribosomal RNA
Rfam family: Bacterial small subunit ribosomal RNA
Source: RNAcentral